RNAcentral lists this ribosomal RNA (374 nucleotides) under uncultured bacterium. RNAcentral's name for it is "bacterial SSU rRNA". It matches the Rfam family "Bacterial small subunit ribosomal RNA", at positions 524 to 898 of the family's 1533-position model. The record is from RNAcentral.
UACGAAGGGAGCAAGCGUUGUUCGGAUUUACUGGGCGUAAAGAGCGCGUAGGCGGUUUAGUAAGUUAGAAGUGAAAGCCCCGGGCUUAACUCGGGAAUUGCUUUUAAGACUGCUAGACUUGAGUAUGGAAGAGGUUGGUGGAAUUCCCAGUGUAGAGGUGAAAUUCGUAGAUAUUGGGAAGAACAUCAGUGGCGAAGGCGGCCAACUGGUCCAUAACUGACGCUGAGGCGCGAAAGCGUGGGGAGCAAACAGGAUUAGAUACCCUGGUAGUCCACGCCGUAAACGAUGAGAGCUAAACGUUGGGUUGUUUACAACUCAGUGUUGCAGCUAACGCAUGAAGCUCUCCGCCUGGGGAGUACGGUCGCAAGAUUAAA